GGCUGUUGCUGGUCCUCGAAUGGGGACAUGUGCACGCUCUGUUUACACAUCCACUCACACCUGUGCACCCUCUGUAGUUUUACGGUCUGGGGGACCCUGUCUUCCUUCUGUAGUUCUACGUCUUUACACACACACUGUAAUAAAGUCUUAUGGAAUGUAUGCCGCGUCUAACGCAACACAAUACAACUUUCAGCAACGGAUCUCUUGGCUCUCGCAUCGAUGAAGAACGCAGCGAAAUGCGAUAAGUAAUGUGAAUUGCAGAAUUCAGUGAAUCAUCGAAUCUUUGAACGCACCUUGCGCCCCUUGGAUAUUCCGAGGGGCAUGCCUGUUUGAGUAUCAUGAACACCUCAACUCUCAUGGUUUGCCGUGACGAGCUUGGACCUUGGGGGUUUUGCUGGCCUGUGGUCGGCUCCUCUCAAAUGAAUCAGCCUCCCAGUGUUUGGUGGCAUCACGAGUGUGAUAACUAUCUACUCUCGCGGUUGCCCACCAGGUAACCUUUGGUGACAAAGGUUCGCUGGAGCUCACAGAUGUCUCUCCUUAGCGAGGACAGCUUUUUAACGUUCGAUCUCAAAUCAGGUAGGACUACCCGCUGAACUUAAGCAUAUCAAUAAGCGGAGGAAAARAMACUAACAAGGAUUCCCCUAGUAACUGCGAGUGAAGCGGGAAGAGCUCAAAUUUAAAAUCUGGCGUGCCUCUGGUCGUCCGAGUUGUAGUCUAGAGAAGUGUUUUCCGUGCUGGACCGUGUACA
This 748-nucleotide ribosomal RNA is filed under the name uncultured fungus. RNAcentral describes it as "eukaryotic LSU rRNA". The stretch from base 185 to 339 matches the Rfam family "5.8S ribosomal RNA". Lineage: Eukaryota; Fungi. The record is from RNAcentral.